CCGGCGGCAGGCCGACUCGCCCGGGGGAACUUCCGCAUUGUUUGAAAANUGACGGAGCAAUCUCGCCUGAGGGAUACCGGCCUAUGCGUUGUAAACCUCUUUUUUCAGGGAGGAACAAAAGGACGUGUACCUGGAGAAUAAGCAUCGGCUAACUCCGUCCCAGCAGCCGCGGUAAGACGGAAGAUGCAAGUGUUAUCCGGAAUCACUGGGCGUAAAGCGUCUGUAGGUGGUUUAAUAAGUCAACUGUUAAAUCUUGAAGCUCAACUUCAAAAUCGCAGUCGAAACUAUUAGACUAGAGUAUAGAAAGUAAAGGGAAUUNCCAGGGAGCGUGAAAUUGUGGCUUUAAAAGAACCCCAUUGCGAAGCGGUUGGCUG
RNAcentral lists this ribosomal RNA (374 nucleotides) under uncultured diatom. Its description in RNAcentral is "bacterial SSU rRNA". It matches the Rfam family "Bacterial small subunit ribosomal RNA", at positions 332 to 731 of the family's 1533-position model. Lineage: Eukaryota; Bacillariophyta. The record is from RNAcentral.